This 216-nucleotide long non-coding RNA is filed under the name Lathyrus oleraceus (garden pea). RNAcentral's name for it is "Pisum sativum (pea) long non-coding RNA (PSAT_LNC012782)". The record is from RNAcentral. Lineage: Eukaryota; Viridiplantae; Streptophyta; Magnoliopsida; Fabales; Fabaceae.
GCGGAGGUGGUUAGUUGGAGACGCAAGGGUUUGUGACGGCGAAAGAAGAAACGAACGGUGGUGGUCCGGUAGAAUGGAUUUGAUCGGAAGUGAAGAAGGGUGAUAUCGUGGAGUUGUGGUGGUGGAGGGUGAGUGGUCUUGGCUUGAAGAUGGAACGCAGAACGACGAUGCUCGAGUCGAAAGAUGAAGAGCGGAAGCGAAUCAAUUCCGAAAAGG